RNAcentral lists this non-coding RNA (116 nucleotides) under uncultured Gemmiger sp. Its description in RNAcentral is "THF riboswitch". It matches the Rfam family "THF (Tetrahydrofolate) riboswitch aptamer". Rfam says of the family: THF riboswitch presents a pseudoknot that joins P1-P2 and the loop of P3 and two THF binding. Lineage: Bacteria; Bacillati; Bacillota; Clostridia; Eubacteriales; Oscillospiraceae. The record is from RNAcentral.
GCAGAGUAGGGAACCAUGCGUGGGGGUGUCCCCAUAGUGCCUGACCAACGGGGAGUUGUGGCAGGACGAAGUUGACCCAAAGACGGGUCCGCGGUGUGGUUUCCGCAUCCCACUGC